This 391-nucleotide long non-coding RNA is filed under the name Ananas comosus (pineapple). Its description in RNAcentral is "long non-coding RNA (ACOM_LNC009128)". Lineage: Eukaryota; Viridiplantae; Streptophyta; Magnoliopsida; Poales; Bromeliaceae. The record is from RNAcentral.
UUAACCAACAAAUACCGGAUAAAAUUUCUAAAUUUUGAGCGCUGCUAGAUCUACAACAACCCGUUUGGUUCGGGGUUAAGGAAUGGAAUAACCCCUUAACCCCGAAGUUAUUCUCAAACACCCAAUUUGCCCCACCCCACUACUCCAACCAAACAAAACACCAUUUUACCCACUAUCUUUCUUAUCCCACAUACUCCAACCAAAUACUAUUUUAUCUAUAUCCGGACUAAACCCAAUUCUCAACUAAAUACAAAAUUACUCUAACCCUACCUUAACUCUGAACUUAACUCUAUCUCUAGAAUAAUAAGUUUUUACUUAACCCCGAACCAAAUGGUUAUAGACUUUACAUUUCUCAAAAUUUCUAGAGGUAUGAAAUAAACACCACAGUUUU